This 800-nucleotide ribosomal RNA is filed under the name Microbacterium arthrosphaerae. RNAcentral describes it as "bacterial SSU rRNA". It matches the Rfam family "Bacterial small subunit ribosomal RNA", at positions 56 to 868 of the family's 1533-position model. The record is from RNAcentral. Lineage: Bacteria; Bacillati; Actinomycetota; Actinomycetes; Micrococcales; Microbacteriaceae.
UGCAAGUCGAACGAUGAAGCCAGCUUGCUGGGUGGAUUAGUGGCGAACGGGUGAGUAACACGUGAGCAACCUGCCCCUGACUCUGGGAUAAGCGCUGGAAACGGCGUCUAAUACUGGAUAUGAGCCUUCCACGCAUGUGGGGGGUUGGAAAGAUUUUUUGGUUGGGGAUGGGCUCGCGGCCUAUCAGCUUGUUGGUGAGGUAAUGGCUCACCAAGGCGUCGACGGGUAGCCGGCCUGAGAGGGUGACCGGCCACACUGGGACUGAGACACGGCCCAGACUCCUACGGGAGGCAGCAGUGGGGAAUAUUGCACAAUGGGCGGAAGCCUGAUGCAGCAACGCCGCGUGAGGGAUGACGGCCUUCGGGUUGUAAACCUCUUUUAGCAAGGAAGAAGCGAAAGUGACGGUACUUGCAGAAAAAGCGCCGGCUAACUACGUGCCAGCAGCCGCGGUAAUACGUAGGGCGCAAGCGUUAUCCGGAAUUAUUGGGCGUAAAGAGCUCGUAGGCGGUUUGUCGCGUCUGCUGUGAAAUCCCGAGGCUCAACCUCGGGCCUGCAGUGGGUACGGGCAGACUAGAGUGCGGUAGGGGAGAUUGGAAUUCCUGGUGUAGCGGUGGAAUGCGCAGAUAUCAGGAGGAACACCGAUGGCGAAGGCAGAUCUCUGGGCCGUAACUGACGCUGAGGAGCGAAAGGGUGGGGAGCAAACAGGCUUAGAUACCCUGGUAGUCCACCCCGUAAACGUUGGGAACUAGUUGUGGGGUCCUUUCCACGGAUUCCGUGACGCAGCUAACGCAUUAAGUUCC